GACGAACGCUGGCGGCGUGCCUAAUACAUGCAAGUAGAACGCUGAAGGUGGGUACUUGUUCCCACUGGGUGAGGAGCGCACGGGUGUAUCACGUGUGGGGCCUCCCUCUUUGAGGGGGGGACAACUUGGGGAAAAUAAUGCUUACACCGCAUUAAAACUUUAAACAUAACUUUUACGUAUGAAAUACACAUUCGCAUCAAUCAAAUGUAAUUCCGCGUUGUAUUCGCUUGUUGGUGAGGUAAAGGCUCACCAAGGCGAUGAUACAUAGCCGACCUGAGAGGGUGAUCGGCCACAAUGGGACUGAGACACGGCCCAAACUCCUACGGGAGGCAGCAGUAGGGAAUCUUCGGGAAUGGACGAAAGGCUGACCGAGCAACGCCGCGUGAGUGAAGAAGGUUUUCGGAUCGUAAAACUCUGUUGGUAGGGAAGAACGUUGGUGAGAGUGGAAAGCUCAUCAAGUGACGGUAACUACACAGAAAGGGACGGCUAACUACGUG
RNAcentral lists this ribosomal RNA (497 nucleotides) under uncultured bacterium. RNAcentral's name for it is "partial 16S ribosomal RNA". It matches the Rfam family "Bacterial small subunit ribosomal RNA", at positions 28 to 507 of the family's 1533-position model. The record is from RNAcentral.